Molecule: ribosomal RNA, 497 nt
Filed under: uncultured bacterium
Lineage: Bacteria
Description: partial 16S ribosomal RNA
Rfam family: Bacterial small subunit ribosomal RNA
Source: RNAcentral
GAUGAACGCUGGCGGCGUGCCUAAUACAUGCAAGUCGAGCGAACAGACGAGGAGCUUGCUCCUCUGACGUUAGCGGCGGACGGGUGAGUAACACGUGUAUAACCUACCUAUAAGACUGGGAUAACUUCGGGAAACCGGAGCUAAUACCGGAUAAUAUAUUGAACCGCAUGGUUCAAUAGUGAAAGACGGUUUUGCUGUCACUUAUAGAUGGUUCCGCGCCGCAUUAGCUAGUUGGUAAGGUAACGGCUUACCAAGGCAACGAUGCGUAACCGACCUGAGAGGGUGAUCGGCCACACUGGAGCUGAGACACGGUCCAGACUCCUACGGGAGGCAGCAGUAGGGAAUCUUCCGCAAUGGGCGAAAGCCUGACGGAGCAACGCCGCGUGAGUGAUGAAGGUCUUCGGAUCGUAAAACUCUGUUAUUAGGGAAGAACAAAUGUGUAAGUAACUAUGCACGUCUUGACGGUACCUAAUCAGAAAGCCACGGCUAACUACGUG